This 18885-nucleotide long non-coding RNA is filed under the name Olea europaea (common olive). RNAcentral's name for it is "long non-coding RNA (OEUR_LNC004785)". The record is from RNAcentral. Lineage: Eukaryota; Viridiplantae; Streptophyta; Magnoliopsida; Lamiales; Oleaceae.
CUUUCUUUAUUCUUGAUUGAAUGCUACGUGUAUGCACGUGGUGCUUCUACGUGGCCCCGUUGGAAGCAUUACAUGUGGUCAGUAACAAAGAUUAAAUAGUGUGUUGGGAUUUUGUCACCCAAUCAAAGCAAUAUUCAGAAAACUAAACCCACAAAAACAGUAAAUAAUCAACAAAAAGAAAUUGGUCAUUUAGUUCGACAAAGCCGACUCGAGAGGCUCAAAGGUAAGAGUCCAUCACUAUGUGCAAGAUCCUCCCAAGAGAGAGUUUAAGGUUAGAGUACGACAAUCACAUCAUCGACUCAAUAAAUAGAUUAUCGAUCUAUAACAAAUCUCACAAUAACACCAUCUAACCGACAUAAGACCAAGACACAAGUGUAGAAUACUUUUUUUACAGUUCAAAACCAACCCAAAAAAGGCCUCAAAACUUCCUGUCACGAACACUAUACACAAGCCAAAACAUAAGCCUGGGAUUACAACAGACCAAAGGCCACAAAUCAAGGCCAAGAUCUGAUUUGCAACAAAGAACGAACUACAGAUCUGAAAAUCAAAGGUGAUGAUAUUAGAGAGACCAAAAACACCAGAGACUCAGAGAAGAAAACCAAAAAAAUGAAAUGAACCCCUUCAAACCGUUUAUAGCCAAACCCAAGGGUCAAGACCAUUUUCAUUUAAGCCUCAACCGUUAGAUCAGAUCAACGGUCUGGAUGAGUAAACAACAAACACAAAUUCAGGAGAUAGCGAGAUAGCCAGUAGACUUACAUGUUAAAAAAAUGUUUUUCCACUUAUAAAACUGGUUCUUGGUUUUUGAAAACACAAUUUUACAAUCUUCACCUUAUUUUCUCAAACCCCUCACUCUCUCUAGUUGCUACAUUGCACUUGACCGUAUUUUACCGUAUGCCCUAAGUAGCUACAAAAGAUUAGCCCGUAUUAAUACGUCGUAAAGAUAAACAAGAUUUAAACUUACGAGCAGUUAGAAUUUUGGUUCCUGUAUUGGAUGGGUUCAUAUUGGUAUGAAUUUUUUCAAGUAUAACCUCACUACAUGCAAUUUUCUCUCGUAUAAAGUGGUACUUCACCUCAAUGUGCUCAGAUCUCUCAUGAUAAACACGAUUUUUACAUAAAAGCAAAGUACACUGACUAUCAGUGAAAAUUAUAGGUGACUUUUGAAAAAAAAUUCAAUUUUCCCAAAAUUUCCUCUAAUCAGAUACAUUCUUUUACAUAUUUAGUAAUUGCCACAUAUUCAGCGUCUGUGUUGGAUAAUGUGACAACAGAAUGAAUUUAUGACUUCCAUGUGAUGCAAUUAUCAAUAAGUACGAAGAAAUAGGCAGUAGUAAACUUUCUUUGAUCAUUAUCCCCAUCAAAAUUCGAGUUUAGAUACCCCUUUAACAUAAGCUGUUCAAAUCUAUUUUCAAACACCAAUCCCAUAUUUAAUGUCCCGGUUAUGUAUUUUAGAAGCCAUUUUAAUCCAAACUAAUGAGGUUUUUCCGAAUUAGACAUGAAUCUACUUCGAAAACUUAUAGCAUAAGUCAAAUUAGGCCUAGUGGUGAUCAUAGAAAACAUGACCCAUCCUUGAGCAUUAACAUAUGGGAUAUUCUUCAUUUCUUUCAUUUUCAUUUUUAUUUUAGGUGAUUAUGAUGUGAUAAGUGUAUUUUUGUACACUUAUUUAGGUCACAAAUAUGACUAAAUAACGAGCAAAAUGAUUGAAUUGUGACUUAAUCUUGUUACAUUUGUGAAUUGUAGGGAACGAAGAUGAACAUGGUGAAAUUCAGGAAAAAAGACGCGAAAAAGGACUAAAAUGACGCAAAGUGAAAGUUCAGGGACCAAGGGGCAAUUAUCCAAAAGUUGACCCGAUGAACAAAUCGAGAAAUUGAUUAAGCCAAUUGCCAAUUGAUGAUAACUUGGGAUGAUUUAAUGAAAAGAAUGAAGAAAAGAUGCCAAGAAGUGAAGUAUUCAAGCGGGAGGACCAAAAUGCACAACUUCCAUAGUUGGUAGCACUAUGCGACCACAUAGUGCUACCCUCUAUGCGGUCGCAUAGAGGCAUACCGCAAGAAAAAGGCCACAAUAUUUUUACUCUAUGUGACCGCAUAGAGAAAUUCCCGGUUAAAAUUUUAGUUUUCUUUUUUCCGUCGAAACUCUUAUGGAAACAAUAUUUUUAGGAUCCUAUAAAUACAAAAACUCGACCAAAAUGUAAGGGACGCCUUUUUUACAUAUUUUUGAGAGAUUUUGAACGAGAAACGAAUGAUAAAACAAAAGAACAACAUCGCGCCAAGUGAAGAUUGGAUUGAAGAUUGAUUCGGGUGAUGACACUUCUUCAAAUAUUUUUAUGUUUUCUUCUUUUUAGCAUGUUAAGCUAGAUUUAUUAUUGUUAGGAGAUCGAUGAAUCUUUUAAUACUACGUUUGAUUGUUAAUUUGGAUUUUUGACGUAUUUGAACACAAGUUUCGGAUUUGAUUGAUUUAUUAUGUUUUUAUUUUCAUAUGAUUAUUGUGCACGUAAUUAUAUGAUUGUGGUGGCCUAUUUUAUGCAUUCGAAAGAAGGAAAAUAGGUUCGACAUAGUAUAAAUCAUCAUAGGGUUCGAUAGGGGAUAGAAAUAUACAUCUAUGCCUUGUGUGAAUCAUUGGAUUUUCGUAAAUUUAUAAUGCAUUUUGGUAUUGGGAUAGGUUUGACAUUGCUCGAAAGAGAUUGCUAAAUUAAAAUAGGAAUAUUGAUUCAUCUUUUAUGGAACUGUGUGCUAAAGUUGCAUAAUUGACAAUUGAACAGGUAUUGCUUGGGGAUUCGUGAUCUAGUGCGUUAGUAUACUCAUUAAAUCCAUAAAUUAGAGUUAAAUUACAUCCAAGUUAUUUUGCAUUUAAGUAUAAUUCUUCAUUCACACUUGCAUCAAAGGUUAUAUCUUUUUAGUUAAAGUACAAAACCUCAAUUUGAUUUUCGUGUUUCGAUUAAGGUCAUAAUAGAUUAAUUUGAACUAAUUCAAUCCUCGUGGGAUUGAUACUUGGACUCAUAGUCCAUUUUACUAGUUAACGAACCGUACACUUGCGGUGGAUUUUAAAUCGGAACAAAUAAUUUCCCAAACAAGUUUUUGGCGCCGUUGUCGAGGAUUGCAAUUUAGUUUUAAUUUUAACUUUUGUGAUACUAAUUCGAACUUAUCUAGAUUAGUAGUAGUUAGCUUACUAGGUUUAGUUUAAAAUUACUUCAAUUUAAUUUUGCGUUAAUUUUGUUAUCUCAGGAAUUGUAUGCAAGGAGCACCUGAUCAAGACUUGGUUCCCAUAGAUCUAGAGAUUGAACGCACAUUCCGUCACAGGCAAAAAGAAGCAAGAGCAGCACAACAAAUGGCUAACGAGCAAAAUCGAACGGUAAUUCCACUCAACGAAGGCAUGGCAGUUAAAGAUGAUGAGAAUACAGUACUCGGGGACUUCAUGACUCCGUUGGUGGUCCAAAGUCAAUCUAGCAUUGUGUAUCUUCCAUUUGGGCAACCGAAUUUCCAGCUAAAAACUAAUGUGAUUCAACUAUUUCAAAAUGGGCAUCAAUAUCACGCGAUGGCUAGUGAAAAUCCGCAUACACACAUAUCCCGAUUUCUGGAUAUGUGUCAACACUUUAGGUAUCAAGGUAUCUCGGACGAUGCAAUAAGACUGCGUUUGUUUCCACACACCUUAUGAGAUACAGCACUUGAAUGGCUAGAUUCACUACUCGUCGCAAGUAUCACCACUUGGAACGAGCUAGCCCACAAAUUCUGCACCAAGUUCUUCUCACCAGCUAAGGUAGCCAAAAUGCAGCAUAAUAUCUCUAUAUUCAACCAAUGUGAGUCCGAAUCAUUUGAAGAGACAUAGAAUCGUUUCAAAAAUAUGUUAAGGAAGUGUCCGCAACAUGGCUUUGACAAGAAGACACAGAUCCGAUUUUUCUCACUGGACUACUUCCAUCUUUCAAGAGCAUGGUGGAUUCAUCAUCUGACAGGUCUAUCUCUACAAGAACAAUUGACAGAGCAUGGGAGCUAUUUGAGAGAAUGGCUACAACUUCAGCCAUGUGGUCUACAGAUCGAGUGGUUCAGAAGAGAACGCCAGGGAUUUAUAAAGUAGAUACUUACUCAGCAUUGUCUGCAAAGAUAGACUCUUUGUUUCAUAAGGUUGAGAGCAUUUCACAGACCGCCACUACAAAACAAGUCAAGAAGCCAAGUUGUGAAGAAUGUGGAGCAGACCACAACACUAUUAAUUGUCCAAUUCUCGCACAGGGUGUCGAACAUGCAGAUUUUGUGCAAUGGGGUCAACGCCAACAGAACAGCCCACAUUCGAAAACCUUCAAUCAGGGCUAGAGAAAACACACAAACUUCUCGUGGAGUAAUCAGAAUCAAAACAGACCACAAGGUCAAUAUCAGCAGCAGGAUAAUAAGCCACCAUUGGAAGAGAUGUUCAAGAAGUUCAUGGCAACAACCAAUCAGUAUAUGGAAGCCAACAACUAGUUUAUGCGAAAGAUAGAUGCAACUCUUCAAGACCAAAGUGCAGCAAUCGAAAAUUUGGAGACACAAAUAGGACAGAUGGCAAUCUCCAUGAUGGGUAGAGCACCAGGAAACUUAUCUAACAACACUGAAAUUAACCCUAAGGAGCACGAAAAGCUAUAACAACCAGAAGUGGAGUACAACUACCGAAGAUACAUGUAAAAAGACUGGUAACUAGCAAGGAAUCAGCACCAACCUUAGAUGACGAAAUUGUGGAACAGACUGAACAAACAACAGGGGAUGUGGUCAAGAAGAAUUCCAAUACAUCACGAGGUACAUCUACCAUCCUAUCAAACCUCAUGAGCCUCAUAUUCCAUUCCCGCAAAGGUUGAAAAAGCACAAAUUGGAUCAGCAAUAUAGUAAAUUUCUUGAAGUCUUUAAGAAAUUACACAUCAACAUCCCAUUUGCUGAGGCACUUGUUCAGAUGUCGAUUUAUGCAAAAUUCCUGAAGGAUAUCCUCUCCAACAAGCGAAAGAUAGAAGAAAACGAAAUAGUGAUGCUAACCGAGGAAUGCAGUGCUAGAAUCCAGAGAAAGGUACCUCCAAAACUAAAGGAUCCAGGGAGUUUUACUGUACCUGGCACUAUUGGAAAUUGUCAUUUUGAUAAAGCAUUGUGUGACUUAGGUGCAAGUAUUAAUUUAAUGCCUCUCUCUAUUUUCAGGAAACUCGGCUUGGGAGAAGCUAAAGCCACAACAGUUACCUUGCAAUUAGCAGAUCGAUCCCUUACACAUCCACGAGGGAUCAUUGAAGACGUGUUGGUAAAAGUGGAGAAGUUCAUAUUUCCAACCGAUUUUCUCAUCUUAGACAUGGAGGAGGAUAAGGAUGUUCCACUCAUAUUGGGGCGACCUUUCUUAGCUAUUGGAAGAGCAAUUGUCGAUGUUCAAAAGGGGCAGCUUAUAUUGAGGCUUGGCGAAGAGCAAAUCUCUUUCAACGUGUUCAAGGCAAUGAAAUUCCCUACUGAGUCAGACAGCUGUUUCCAGAUCGAUGUAAUUGACAGAAUAAUUCAAGAUACAUUUCUGCUACAUCAUCCUUCCGAUUCAUACGAGGCGUGCAUUGCACAUUCUCAAUCCACUCACAUUGAUUCAAGUGAGAUUGAAACAUGUGCGUGGUUUUUGGAAACUAAUCCACCAUACAUGCGCAGACGUUGCUUUGAAGAGUUGGGAACUUAGACUACAAAGUCAGUGCCAUCUAUUCAGCAACCUCCCAAAUUGGAACUCAAGCAAUUGCCACCACACCUUCGAUAUGCUUACCUGGGGAAAUUUUCUACACUUCUGGUUAUUAUUUCAAGUACUGUCAGUGAAGUGGAGGAAGAGAAACUAUUUCGGGUGCUAAAGGAGAAUAAAACAGCUAUUGGAUGGUCUAUUGCAGAUAUCAAGGGAAUCAACCUGUCACUUUGCAUGCAAAAAAUACUCAUGGAGGAAGAAUUCAAGCCAAGCAUUGAUGGUCAAUGAAGAUUGAAUCCACACAUGAAGGAAGUGGUUGGGGCUGAGGUAUUGAAGUUGCUCGACGCAGACAUCAUCUAUCCAAUAUCAGAUAGCGCAUGGAUCAGUGUCGUACAGGUUGUUCCCAAGAAAGGGGGUAUCACAGUGAUAGAAAAUGAAAAAAAUGAGUUGAUUCCUACACGAACAGUGACUGGAUGGAGAGUUUGCAUCGAUUACCACAAACUAAACGCUGCUACUCGAAAGGAUCACUUUCUACUAUCGUUCAUUGAUCAGAUAUUGGAGAGACUAGCAAGGCACUCGCAUUACUAUUUUCUGGACGGGUAGUCCGGGUAUAAUCAAAUUCCAAUAGCACCUGACAAUCAGGAAAAGAUAACUUUCACCUGUCCCUACGGUACCUUUGCAUACCGUAGGAUGCCGUUUGGUUUAUGCAAUGCUCUUACCACUUUUCGGCGCUUCAUGAUGGCGAUCUUCUCAGAUAUGAUUGAGAAAUUCAUUGAGGUAUUCAUGGAUGACUUCUCAGUGUUUGGGUCUUCAUUUGAUGAGUGCUUAGACCAUUUGAGUCUUGUGCUACAGCGUUGUACGGAGACACACUUGGUAUUGAUUUGGGAGAAAUGCCACUUUAUGGUAUAGGAAGGCAUCGUGUUAGGACACCGAAUCUCAACAAAGGGUAUUGAAGUAGACAGAGCAAAAAUUCAGAUGAUCGAGAAAUUACCGCCACCAGCAUUAGUGAAAGGUGUUCGUUGCUUCCUCGAGCAUGUCGAGUUCUACAGAACGUUCAUCAAGGAUUUCUCAAAAAUUACCAAACCACUAUGCUGUUUAUUGAUGAAGGAAUCCACAUUUGAGUUCACAGAUGGAUGUCUGCUAGCUUUUAACACCUUGAAAGAAAAGUUGGUUUCAGCACCCGUGAUCAUCACAUCGGAUUGGAACCUGCCAUUUGAAUUAAUGUGCGACGCCAGUGAUUUUGCUGUUGGGGAAUAAGAUAUUUCACGUGAUCUACUAUGCAAGUAAGACCUUGAACGACGCUCAACUCAAUUAUGCCACUACAGAGAAAGAGCUCCUUGCCGUAGUCUACGCCUUUGACAAAUUUCGAUCAUACCUUGUGGGGUCAAAGGUCAUCGUUUACACAGAUCACGCUGCUAUCAAGUACUUAAUGGAAAAGAAGGAUGCAAAGCCACGUCUCAUUCAUUGGAUAUUAUUGCUUCAAGAGUUUGAUUUGGAAAUCAAGGAUAAGAAGGGCAGUGAAAACAUAGUGACAGACCACUUAUCUCGACUCGAGGCCACAGAACAGACAGAGACAGUGGAAAUUAAUGAAGUCUUCCCAGAUGAACAGAUUUUUGGUGUGGGGGAGGCACCCUGGUAUGCGGACAUAGUUAACUACUUAGUCAGGUCUAUCAUGCCGCCUGAUUACUCCAGUCACCAAAAGAAGAAAUUUUUCGCUGAAUUGAAGUAUUAUUUUUGGGAGGACCCCAUUCUAUAGAGGCAGGGGGCUGAUCAAAUUGUUCGUCGCUCUGUACCUGAGGAAGAAGUGCCUUUGAUAUUAGAACAUUGUCAUUCAUCUACAUAUGCAGAGUAUUUUGGUGCUUCGAAAAUAGCAGCGAAGAUCCUUCAAUCAGGUUUUUACUGGCCUACACUGUUUAAGGAUGCCUUUGAAUUCGUGAAAAGGUGUGGCCAAUGUCAACACACCGAUAAUAUAUCCAAGAGAAAUGAAAUGCCUUUGAACAGUAUCCUGGAGGUGGAACUAUUCGACACCUGGGGGAUCGACUUCAUGGGGCCAUUUCCUCAAUCCUUCUCUAAUCAGUACAUAUUAGUGGCUGUGGAUUACGUAUCGAAGUGGGUUGAGGCAGUUACAUUGCCUACCAACGAUGGGAAGAUGGUGGUUUUUAAAGAAACAUAUUUUUACCCACUUUGGAACACCGAGGGCUAUAAUCAGUGACGAGGGCAAACAUUUCUGCAAUCGCCAAUUUGAACAAUUGUUGACUAAAUAUGACGUUAAACAUCGUGUAGCCACUGCAUAUCAUCCCCAAACCAGCGGACAGGUCGAAGUGUCUAAUAGGCAAUUGAAGCGAAUACUCGAAGUCACAGUAAGCUCAUCACAAAAAGAUUGGUCUAAGAAACUGGACGACGUCUUGUGGGCCUAUAAGACUGCAUUCAAGACCCCUAUAGGAGUGUCACCAUAUCGACUGGUUUUCGGGAAGGCAUGCCACUUACCUCUUGAGGUAGAACAUCAUGCUUACUGGGCAAUGAAGAAAUUGAAUUUGGAUUUAAAGGCUAUGGAUGAAAAACGUCUACUACAACUUAAUGAGCUGGACGAGCUCAGAAUGGAAGCCUACGAGAAUUCAAGACUCUACAAAGAAUGCACCAAGAAACGGCAUGAUAUGCACAUUCAGAGGCAUGAGUUUACGGUGGGGAAAAAAGUGCUACUCUACAACUCUAGGCUUAAACUGUUACCAGAAAAGUUGCGAUCGAGGUGGUCUAGUCCGUAUACUAUUACACAGGUUUUUCCACAUGGGGCAGUUGAGAUCACUCACGACAGUAAGGGGACAUUCAAGGUUAAUGGACAGCGUUUGAAGCAUUAUUGGGGCGGCGAUUUUUCAAAGGAAAAGUCUACCGUUCAUCUUAGACCAAUAGAAUGACGCAAUACGGUAAAGUCGAGCUAUCGACUAUAAUCUAGCACUGGGUGGGAGGCAACCCACUGUAUCCUUCUAUUAGCUUACUUUUCACAUUAUUUUUAGAAUUAUUUCAUUUUCGCAUUUGCAUUUUUCUAGGUCAUCGAUUGUACAUGCAUGUUAAUUGGAUCGAAUUAUCAUCCCCAUAAUUUUCUAGGCAUUUUGAAUGUUUGGGAGUAUGAUUCACACAUUUCUAGAUAAAAGAACAUUUAAAAAAAAUUACGAGGAAAGUACCUUUUUGCAUUUCAGUGUGUUUUAAUAUAUAUAUAUAAAAAAAACUUGGUCUAUACGACCGCAUAGGCAUAUACCGAAACUAAAAUGGGGAAAAUUGUUUUCACUGUGCGACUGCAUAGCAUUCAACUAUGUGGCCGCAUAGUAAUGGCCGGUCAUGGACUUAAGUCCAAGACCGGCUCAUUAGAAGGGCAAACACCCAUUUCCCUCACCCAUAUUUCUCUCAACACUUAGGUCCAACGAGUCUCAUUCGAACACACACACACACUCCCACUAACAUUCCUACCCCUCAUUCAUUUCAUCCAUCACUUUGGCAUUCGUCACUCAUCUUCAAGGCAACAUAAGGGACGAAAUUUUUCUUUCCUCCUUUCAUUUCAUAUUUGGGUUGUAGUUACUCAUAUUUUCCAAUUGGGAAUUAAGUUGAAAGGGUGUAAGUAUGCUUGGUUUAGGGCUUUAAUUUGUGUUUUUGCUUUUUGGAUGAUUACCAUUUGCCAAGUAGUUUUAGAAUGGAGUUGAAUAUAUAUUGCACACAACGUGUUCGAUGGAUUGCCUAAGUGAAAUUUGUUGUGCAUUUUGACCAAUCUCGCAUUGGACAAUCAACCUAUACGCAUUCCUUUCCACGUGGUGAUCCAAUGCCAUAGAUAUUGAACUCGAAACACUCCCGUACCACCACACACAUGUAGGCACACGUGCUAGGCUCACGUCACUUCACAACACCCACUUCAUCCCUUGCGUUAAGUACCCGUAUGACAUCCAAUGAGCGUGAAAUUUGAAUAUGUGCUACUCCACACUACAUACUUUCAUAUGCCCGAAGGUUGCUUGGGAAAAAUUCAAGUUUUCUCGAUGAUGUCCAGAGGCAAAAGCGCACACUAAAUCACGAGUCACUUGACACAAUUUGGUUGUUUUGCGCUCCGUUUGUGUGAAUAUGGUUAUUUUGCUUUCCUUAUAUGUUCUUGAGCAUGUUUUCUUGACACUUGCAUGUUACCACAUUCACAACCACUUGAAAGGCCAUAUAUCACAUCAUAUCCAUUUUGCAACACGUAGGCACAUGGCUAGGUCACAGCACCCUACGGCCCCUAUUUUCCACCAUUAUUUGGCAUACCAAAUGAAGUCCAUUUGCUUUGAAAUUUGAAUAUAUGGUAGAUCUCAUUGAAUACUUUCAUAUGCCCGAAAAUUUCUCGGGGAUCUUUCGAUAUUUUUCGAUGAUAUUCGAGGUCGAACAUGCGUACUCGGUCAUGGGUCCCCUUUUCCAAAUAUGCUUGUUUCGGCCUCAACUUCCAGUUUUUCAUCUUAGCAUUCUAUUUACACUACCUUGAAUGUCAUAUUUUGAUGAGUGCACACCACGAAGUUCUAUAUGCACGUUGAAGUAAGUUUGGGGGAUUUGUUAAAUACUUGUCUUGCUAAUCUCAUUCCCCCUAUCGUUUUUCAACAAACAGUUUAAUGACUUUUAUUUUUAUUCCUUUGCAGGAUGCCUCCAAAGCGAACAUCCAAGGGAAAGGAGAAGGUUGAUUCCAUAUCUGGCACAGCCCGGACUAGGGAACCCAAAGGGGGUGUCCGACGUUUUCUAUCUUCAGACCAAGCAGCCCGCUAUGCCAAUAUUGUCUGUGAAUGGGCACUCAUCCCUAAGCGACUAGUUAAGUUGGAUGAUUUCCUUGGUUUUGAAUUGGUCUAUUUAAUCCAAAACUGCGGUUGGGAGAAAGUGGUCAAGAGACCACACGCCGUCUAUGAAAAUUUGGUACGGGAAUUCUACGCAAACUUCAAUGCUAAAAUAGACACACCUGGAUCCGACCAUCUGCAUCAAACAUGGGUUCGGGGUAAAUGGAUCAUGUUUUCACCUGAGGUAAUACAUGACUACUAUCAGCUCACCUGGACUAAUGUAGUCCCAGUCCUGCAUGAUUACAACUGGGUUGAGGUUGCAGAAGUGUUAUUGGGAUGUGAAAACGCUUGGCCUCUCCCUAUUGCUGAUUGGUAUCAGAUUGAUCUCACUCCUUCUAUAGCCAUCCUAUAGUUGUUCAUCUGCCACAACAUCGAGCCCAUCUCCCAUAGGACGACAUUCACAAAUCAGAAGGCGGGGUUCAUCUAUCAAUUGGUUCGGGGCAACAAGAUUGACUUAGCCACUUACAUUCACAAUCAGAUACACGUUACAGGUGCAUGGGGUGACAGGCACACAUCACUGAUUUUCCCGAGCUUGAUAAGUGGGAUUUGUAGAGCUGCUGGUAUACAAGUUCAGCCAGGGGAGGCACCGGAGAAACCAAGUCCAUUUAUCAAACGCCUCAUACUCGAGACCCAGGACCGAGCCAGAAUUAAACACCAACAGAAAUUGGAAAAUGAGCACCGACAACAGCAACAGGCUACAGAAGGGCCAGCAACUGAGGACUUUGAAAUGCCAUAAGCUCCACCACCACCGGCUGACGUGGACACCUAGUUAUUGAGGCAGAUGUUUGCCACUAUGACUGGACACAGCCGAGACAUGCAGCAGCUUCAGCACUCUUUUGGGGCACUGACUACCACCAUCCAGCAGGUGCAGAAGGAUAUGUCAUCUGCACGAAACUUCGCUUCCACUGCCAGCAUUGGCACGCCGACAGAUGAGUACCUUUGAUGGGCGUUUGGGCAUGUACGUUAGCCGGAUGGAUGGUAUACAGUGGCGGGUAAACGAGACUUGGGACUGUCUAGGGAGUUUGGAGACAAUGGUGCAGGCCAUGCAAAUGGAGGAGACCCAGCAGUCUGCCAUGUUGAGAGAGAUCUUGUCCCGCCUUUCCUCCCCUCCUGGCGAUGAUUAUGUCGGGCCCAACUUUCCGUCCCAGCCAUCGUUUUGAUCAAGGGAGUACUGUUUUCCCCAUUUUGAUUUUUCGUCUUCAUUUUGUCCUUAAAAUUAUGUCUUUAAUCUUUUGUUAAUCUUAUGUUUAGGACAAUGUAUUAACUAAGUUUGAGGGGGUGACAUAAUUUUAACUCUCUAUCUGUGUUCAUCAUUAUCUUUUUUCCACUCUUUCCAUUACUGCAUAAUGUGUGCAUGAUGCGUGUUAUAAAAAAAAUUUCAUUUUAUUCAAUUUGUUUUAAAUUCUCUUUAUACAUGUUUGUGUGGGCUUGAUAACCUUGUUUGCUAUGAUGAUAUUAUUGGACUAGCGUAAACUGCAAAACUUUGGAUCUUGUGUUAAUUAGACUAACUGAUACUUGUUGAUGCAACACUUGACAUUAUCUGUGCACGCUAUUCAUGCUUGCAAUAUUAGGAGAAUGAUUGGAUUUUUGGCAUAAUAUAGGAAAAAAAUGAUAAUCCUCUAUUGAAUUAACCCAUAAACUACCUUAAGACAGUUUGGUGAUAGUUGAAAGCGUUGAGAUGAGCGGGGGCUCCGUGCAUGAAAUUUAUUGUGUGAAUUGCCUAGAUCAGUGGGAUGAAGAGUAGGUGAAAAUCUUAAAUGGGGGGUUGGUUUUGGAAGCUAAAUGUCUAGAAAAAUAACAAAGGGCACAAAUUUAUUAUGUGAGAGUGAAACACUUCUUUUCAUGCCUUUAUGACUCGAGCAAGUAAGCCUGUAAGGAUAUUUCAAAAUCUGGUGCCCUAAAGCCAACUGGCCUGAGAGUCACCGACCUAAAGCUCAAUACAUGGGUCAUAUAGAAAGCAAGAGGAAAAGAAAUUAAUAAAAAGUCAUCUUAUCGAGCCUUUAUAACUCGAGUGAAUAAGCCUGCAAGGGUUUAAAAUCUGGUACCCUAAAGCCAACUGGUUUGGGAAUUAUCGACCUAAAACUCGUUACAUGGGUUAUAUAGAAAGCAAAUGAGAAGAUAACAACCAAAUUAAAGAACGGUGAGAAAAACAAAAGAGAGACAAUAACAUGACGAAAAGCCCUUAGACAAUUGGUUGAAGAGACUAUACCUCUGAGGCGAGACAAGUAAUCUAGUUUAAUCUUGAGAGUCGAAGCAAUCAACCUUAGGAGAGCCUUCACUUGUUGAAAUGUAAAACUUGUGAUAGUAAGACUAAUCCAAACUACAAGAGGGUGAGGACUACAACUAUAUAAAUUCUUAAUCUUAAAACACAUCAUCGGGAUAAUUGAAUGAAAAGAAUAAGUUUGGGGGGUUGUGUAUCUCUCGAGCAAGUAAGGAUAUAUUUGACCACUUGGGGUCGGGACUCAAUUUCAUCAUGAACCUGAUAUGUUGGCAUGUAUUCACACACACACGUCAGUUUGCAUUUAACAUGUAAAUGUUGAUGUUAUGUUUGCACAGAUAAAUUUUUGAAUACUCGGUCCAAUCCUGAGCCACAACAGGAUAUUAAGCCAUGUUUGUUCAGAAUUAAGUCACUAUCUUGUUUGAGAACAAACAAUAGUUCAAGUUUGGGGGAUUUGAUAAGUGUAUUUUUGCACACUUAUUUAGGUCACAAACAUGACUAAAUAACGAGCAAAAUGAUUGAAUUGUGACUUAAUCUCGUUACAUUUGUGAAUUGUAGGGAAUGACGAUGAACAUGGUAAAAUUCAGGAAAAAAGACGCGAAAAAAGACUAAAAUGACGCAAAGUGAAAGUUCAGGGACGAAGGUGCGAUUAUCCAAAAGUUGACCUGAUGAACAAAUCGAGAAAUUGAUUAAGCCAAUUAUCAAUUGACGAUACUUUGGGAUGAUUUAAUGAAAAGAAAGAAGAAAGAUGCCAAGAAAUGAAGUAUUCAAGUGGGAGGACCAAAAUGCACAACUUCCAUAGUUGGUAGCACUAUGCAACCACAUAGUGCUACCCUCUAUGCGGUCGCAUAGAGGCAUACCGCAAGAAAAAGGCCACAAUAUUUUUACUCUAUGCGUUCUGGUCGAGUUUUUGUAUUUAUAGGACCCUAAAAAUAUUGUUUUCGUAAGAGUUUCGGAGGAAAAAAGAAACUAAAAUUUUAACCGGGAAUUGCUCUAUGCGACCGUAUAGAGCAACUCUAUGCGGUCGCAUAGAGUUGCUCUAUACGGUCGCAUAGAGCAAUUCCCGGUUAAAAUUUUAGUUUCUUUUUUCCUCCGAAACUCUUACGAAAACAAUAUUUUUAGGGUCCUAUAAAUACAAAAACUCGACCAGAACAUAAGGAACGCUAUUUUUACAUAUUUUUGAGAGAUUUUGAAGGAGAAACGAAGGAUAGAACAAAAGAAAAAUAUCGCGCUAAGUGAAGAUUGGAUUGAAUAUUGAUUCGGGUGAUGACGUUUCUUCAAAUAUUUUUAUGUUUUCUUCUUUUUAGCAUGUUAGGCUAGAUUAUCAUUAAUAGGAGAUCGAUGAACCUUGUAAUACUACGUUUGAUUGUUAAUUUGAAUUUUUGACGUAUUUGAACACAAGUUUCGGAUUUGAUUGAUUUAUUACGUUUUUAUUUUCAUAUGAUUAUUGUGCACGUAAUUAUAUGAUUGUAGUGGCCUUUUUAUGCAUUCAAAAGAAGGAAAAUAGGUUCGACAUAGUAUAAAUCAUCAUAGGGUCCGAUGGGGGAUAGAAAUAUACCUCUAUGCCUUGUGUGAAUCAUUGGAUAUUCGUAAAUUUAUAAUGCAUUUCGGUAUGUUAAUAUUCGUCAUAGAAAUAUAAUCGAAUCAUAUAUUGAGAUAUGUUUGACAUUGCUCGAGAGAGAUUGCUAAACUAAAAUAGGAAUAUUGAUUCAUCUUUUGUGGAACUGUGUGUCAAAGUUGCAUAAUUGACAAUUGAACGGGUAUUGCUUGGGAAUUCGUGAUCCUAGUGUGUUAGUAUACUCAUUAAAUCCAUAAAUUCGAGUUAAAUUGCAUUUAAGUAUAAUUCUUCAUUCAUACUUGCAUCAAAGGUUACAUCUUUUUAGUUAAAGUACAAAACCUCAAUUUGAUUUUCGUGUUUCGGUUAAGGUCUUAAUAGAUUAAUUUGAACUAAUUCAAUUCUCGUGGGAUCGAUACUUGGAUUGAUAGUCCAUUUUACUACUUGUUAACGAACCAAACACUUGCAGUGGAUUUUAAAUCGGAACAAAUAAUUUCGCGAAUAAGAUGAUAAAUUCAUAUGGGUUGCAAAAGUUAUAUUCACAUGCUUAACUUUUUUCAAACCAAGUUUGGUUAUAACUUUGUUCAAAUAAGCACUUUGUGUUAUAAUUAAAAUAUUCUCUUACCUAUUUCUGUUAAUAAUCAUUCCUAAAUUUUUUUUUGCCAUUUUCUAAGUCUUUCUUAUCAAAUUUAGACUUUAGAAGUUAUGUCUUAAAAUUUCAGCUUUGCUAGAGCUGGCCAAUAGCAUCUCAUCAACAUAUAGAAGUAAACAAACUUCACUACGAGCCCUAUAUUAUUGUAGUAUAGACAGUGACCAUAUUCACUUCUUUUGAAACCAAUAAUCAACAUAUAUGUUUCAAAUCUAAUAAACCAUUGCCUUGGAUUUUGUUUGAGCCGUACAAUGAUUUUUACAACUUACAAACAUAACCUUCCUUUUCCUUUACCUCAAACCCUUGGGAUUGACUUAUAUAGAUCUCCUCAUCUAACUCAUCAUGUAAAAAGGCCAUCUUAACAUCUAAUUAUUCAAGUUCUCAAUUGAAUUGAACAACUACUGCAAUAAUCAAUCUUAUGGUCUUAUUUUUGACAACUGGAGAGAAGAUUUCAUUAUAGUCUACACCCUCCUUUUUUAGUAAAGCCUUUCGCUACAAGCUUUAUAUCUCAAAAGGUUAGAUGAGGUAAUCCCAUCGUUCGGUUUGAAAAUCCACUUGAAUUGAACAACUAUUUGAUUUUUAAGUUUCUAUUCUAAUUUCCAUGUAUUAUUUACAAGUAAAGAUUUCAUUUCUUCUUUCAUUGCAUCUUUUCAUUUCUCAAAUUUAAAGUAAUUCAUGGCCUCUUCAUAGGAUGAAAGUUCUUAAUACUCUAGAGUUCGCAAGAGAUAAGGGCAAAAUCAGUCAAGCCAUUUAUUUCAUAUCUUGGAUUUGGUUUGACUUGUCUCCUUUCCCUAUCUCUAAUCAAUUGAUAAUCCCAAGCGUUUAUCUCAACAGUGGGAACAUUUGGGCUUUCAGUUUUAGUCUCAACCUCAGUUUGAGCAACAUUUUCAUCAAGUUGUUGAAUGCCAACUUCAAUACUCUCAAGUUGAGUGGGGUUUAGCCUUACUAGCUUCAUCUCACUCCGUAAAUAAGUCUCUUUAUUUUGCUCUUUUAAAUUAUAAAUUUCAUAUUUCAUACAUGGCAUUUUUUAUUCAUGAAAUACCAUAGUUCAGCUAUUAAUGAACUUAAUGCCCUACACAACCAAUAUCCACAACCUGUAUCCCUUCACACCUUUUGGGUACCAAAGCAUAACACACUUAGUAACUCUGGGGUCCAACUUUCCCUCAACCUGAUGGGCAUAUGCCGUACAUCCAAGACUCUAAUGUGAGAAAGGUUUGGGGGCUUACCAGUCCAAAGUUCCUAUGGAGUCUUAAAUUCAACAGAACUACAUGAAAAUCGAUUUAUAAAAUAUAGCAUAUAUCUAACCUUGUUCAUUAGAGUUCUAUUCAUUCUUCCAUCGACCACAUUCUAUUAAGGCGUGUGCUCAAAGCUCACCCCGUGUGACUUUUCCAACACACACGUUACACAAAAUUCAAGGGGCUCAAUUAUAUCUUUCCCAAGUAAUUUUCGAUUAGUUGAUACUUGAGAUCCUUAUUUCCUAUAUGUCACAUUUUGUUAUGCCACAAUUCUGACUUGUUUUUAGUUAUGCUCAAAGAUUUAGCAUCUUGACCAGCAAUAGUCUCUCCCACUAAAUAGUACAAUCCAUUUCUUUCUGGUCCUUUAAAGAUUAUCGAAGAUCCCUUCAUAACUUUCAAAGUGUUAUUUUUAAACUUGAAAGAAUGUUCCUCAUCUUUAAGAAUUUCCAAUAAGAUGAGAUUUUUUUUCAAGCUUAGGACAUAUCUUACAUUUUUAAUUGCGUGACAAUGCCAUCUUACCAAGAACACUUCAAGAGUUAUUAUCACCCAUUUACACUUUUCUGUGUUCAACUUAUUUGUAAUUAUUAAACAAAGAUUUAUUAGGAUACAUGUGGAAUGUACACCUUGAAUCCAAGAUCCAGCCAUUAUCAACUUCUUCAUUAGGCACAAUCAUUACAAGUAGACUAUCUAACUCAAAACCAAUGGAAGAAUUAUUCAAUUUCCCAAUAUUUUGAUUCUUUAGUUUUUUCUUCCAUUCAAAACAAUCUUAUUUAGAGUGACCUAGUUUCCCAUUAUUGCUUUUCUCUUGAUUUAGAUCUAGUUUUAGAUUUCGAUUUAGAUCUUCUGUUGUUGAAGUUAUUCUUCUUCUUCUCUACCAUUCCUCUUACGAACAUACUCUCCUCUCUUAAACUUAUCCUAAAUUUUUUCUUGACCUCCAAGUCCCUAGACUUUAGAGCAUUAGUAACAAUUGUUUGUGUUAGGUCGUCUCUUGAGUAUUUUAUCACAUUCUUGCAUAAAAAUUAGGUAAUGAAUUAAAAAGGAUUUCCGCAAGAUCCUCAUCCUCAGAUUUUUUAUUAUUAUGAGCAAGGCUCUUAACUAAGAUACUAAAAUCACUCAAAUUAGCUUCCAAGUCUUUCCCGAUAUCUAUUUUAAAACUAAAAACUUUCUCUAAAAAUGUGUUUGAUUACAUUUAUUUUUCAUAAAAAAUUUCAGUUUUCCACCGAAAUUCCUACUUAAAGUGUUUGAUUGCUAUUUUUUUCCAUAAAAAAUAUUUUCCAACUUUUGAAAACAUGUCUAAUUUUCCUUGUUUUUAAUUAAAAUAUUUUCCUUAAGUAGUGGUGAUUUUUAUUUUCCACAAAAAAUGAAUAACAUUUUCUUUUCUAAAUGAUAUUUUCUAUGUCAAUCAAACACAAUCUAAAAAGUAGAUUUUAUUAACAAGGUUUUAGUCAGAAACAAAGCAUCUAAUGUAGCCCAUAAGGCUCUAGGGGUUUUAGCAUCUUCCACUUGUCUUUUUAUGUUAUCAAAUAAGUGCAAUAUGACAGAAUUAUAUGCAAUUUCAUUAAUAUUUAUAAUUUCAUCAAACUUAGCUUUCAAUUCAGCAGAAAAAGUUUCUAGAUCAUCCAAGGCUUUAGCAAUCAUUUGUUGGACCAAUAUGACCCUCAUUUUCUACUUCCAGAUAAAGUAAUCCCCCUUUUCAUCGAAUUGUGAUAAUUCAACCAUCGAACCCAUUGUAGGUUCUAUAAAAAGGUGGCUAUUACUCGUUGACAUUAGUGAUUCUUAAUUUGAGAAAUCACUUAAGUUGCAAAACAAGUUUUGCAGUCAAUGACAAGUAAGCUGAUCUCAGAAUGAAAAACAACAGCAAUAUAAUAUACGCAGACUGCAAUAGUAACAAGAAGAAACGAUUUUAGAUUUUUUGCAGAUGGUACCACUCAGUCAAAUUAAAGAAACUGGUAUCCUAAACGUGUUCCUAUUACAAUUAGAUAAUUUAUCCAAUUCUUGAAUAAAACAAAUCACAGUAUCAAUAGAUUCACAUAUUAAUAAUUAAAUCACGCGAAUCAAUUUCUGUAAAUUUGUAUAGGAACUAUCUCAUCAAAUAGUGUAUAAAAAUAUUCAACCAAACUCCAGUGCUGAUUUCAGAACCGAAUAUUCCGUUCAGUUCGAGUUAUUGGUAUUGCAUAGAUCAAUAACUUUAAAUCAAAUUUCAUAGAUGCCUUACCCACGCCUCACCAGACUCCGAUACCAGUUUAUUGGGAUUUUGCCACCCAACCGAAGCAAUAUUCAGAAAAUUGAAACAUAGACCCACGAAAACAGUAAUAAUCAACACAAGAAAUGCUCAACCAAUUUGACAAAGCCUACUCGGGGGACUCAGACGUAAAAACCCAUCACUAUAUUUAAGAACCUCUCAAGAGAGAGAUUAAGUUUAGAGUACGACAAUCAGAUCACUGACCUAAUUAGUAGAUCAUCGAUCUAUAACAGGUCUCACAAUAACACCACCUAACUGGCACAAGAGUAGAAUAGUUCUUUACAGCGCAAAACCAACUUAAAGAAGCCUCUAAACUUCCUGUCAUGAACACUAUACACAGGCCACAACACAAGCCUGAGAUUACAACAAACCAAAGGCCACAAAUCAAGGUCAAUAUCUGAUUUACAACAAAGAAUGAACUACAGAUUUGAAAACCGAAGGUGACGAUAUUAGAGAGACCAAAAAAUGCCAGAGACUCAGAGAAGAAAACCAAGAGAAUGAAAUGAACCUCUUC